GACAGGGGGCCCGAGCGUUAAUCGGAAUCACUGGGCUUAAAGGGUGCGUAGGCGGACUGCUAAGUGUCGUGUGAAAGCCCACCGCUCAACGGUGGAACCGCACGGCAAACUGGCAGCCUGGAGGAAUCUAGAGGCCGGUAGAACGAUUGGUGGAGCGGUGGAAUGCGUAGAUAUCAAUCGGAAUGCCAAAGGUGAAGACAGCCGGCUGGGGAUUUCCUGACGCUGAGGCACGAAAGCGUGGGGAGCAAACAGG
This 253-nucleotide ribosomal RNA is filed under the name uncultured bacterium. Its description in RNAcentral is "partial 16S ribosomal RNA". It matches the Rfam family "Bacterial small subunit ribosomal RNA", at positions 524 to 776 of the family's 1533-position model. The record is from RNAcentral.